RNAcentral lists this ribosomal RNA (253 nucleotides) under uncultured bacterium. RNAcentral describes it as "partial 16S ribosomal RNA". It matches the Rfam family "Bacterial small subunit ribosomal RNA", at positions 524 to 776 of the family's 1533-position model. The record is from RNAcentral.
UACGAGGGGGGCAAGUGUUGUUCGGAAUCACUGGGCGUAAAGGGCGCGUAGGCGGCCUGAUAAGUAGGAGGUGAAAUCUUGCGGCUUAACCGCAAGGCUGCCUUCUAAACUGUCAGGCUAGAGCACAGUAGAGGCAGGUGGAAUUCCCGGUGUAGCGGUGGAAUGCGUAGAGAUCGGGAAGAACAUCAGUGGCGAAGGCGGCCUGCUGGGCUGUUGCUGACGCUGAGGCGCGACAGCGUGGGGAGCAAACAGG